UGCAAAGCGACGGCGCAAGGUUUCAGC
RNAcentral lists this non-coding RNA (27 nucleotides) under Mus musculus (house mouse). The record is from RNAcentral. Lineage: Eukaryota; Metazoa; Chordata; Mammalia; Rodentia; Muridae.